This is a long non-coding RNA of Amborella trichopoda, 538 nucleotides long. RefSeq lists it as uncharacterized. The record is from RefSeq and is a predicted model, not a curated record. NCBI's taxonomy places the organism in Eukaryota, Viridiplantae, Streptophyta, Magnoliopsida, Amborellales, Amborellaceae.
AAUUUAAAGUGGCCUUUUUAGAGGAGAAACACUUCGAGUCUUGGACAGAGAGAGCGAGAGGAAGCCCUAGAAGCUUCGUGUAUUUCUCUUUUCUGCGAUUUUUUGUUUCUGAGAAGGCGAGGAAUAAUGGCGGGUUUGAGGAGCUCGAGCUUAGCUUCAAUGGCCGUUAUUGCCCUGGUUUUUGCACUGGUUUGUGGUGCGUUUGCCGCUGAAUCGCCUGCUCCUUCCCCUGAUUCGGGCGCUGUUGAAAUCAUACCCGGAAUUAUUGGUGGUGUGGUCAUCUCUGUAAUGGCGUUCUUCUUUGGGACCUUUUUUAACUGAGGAUGGUGGCGUUGUGUCUGGUUUGGUAUGGCGAAAUUCUCAAGAGUUCGACUGAUGAUAUAUAUGAUAUGAAGUAUAUGUUAUAUUACAUGUAGGUCGUAGAGCCUACCUUCAAAUAAUGUCGAGUUUUCACUUUCAAUUAGUGUCGAGUUGUAAAUCUCUGUUACAGCCUUGAAAUAUAUUUUCAUAUUUAUUUAUAGGGAAGGUUUCUAUAUCU